UAACAUUCCACCCCAGGUUGUACGAUGCUUCUCUGUUUUCUCAGGUAUCAAUCCACUCACUGAGUUCACAACUAGUUGAGUCUCUCCAGAACCCUCUUGAACCUUCCUCUGGAACACAAGAAGAAAAUUAGGGGAACUCUUGCUUACAUUUGUGCUCAUAGGAUAGCCUGGAGCUCAGUCUCCAUAGUGAGAAAUGCAGCUUCUACCCUGAACCUUGUCACUCUGAGCCUCUUUUUCUUUUUUUAGACCAAACCAAACCAAACAAGCAAACAAACAAAAACACAAGAACAAAAACAAAAUAACCCAAGGAACUGGGGGGAUGGGUUUGUCUCCAAUGGAUUUUUCUGACCAUGAAGGCCUGACCCCACAGGACUGAAGGAGGUCAGGAAAGACACACAGAACAAGUUUGGAAAGUUGAAGCCGACAAAAGAGGAGAAAUUAUCAGCAUAUUCUAGGUUCUGCCAGACAGUCUUUUAUUACAUGAUAAAAGCAACACUAGGCACUAGAUCUUGUAAAAUAAGCUCUGACCAACUUUCUGAAAUUAAAAAUGCAUAACCACA
Peromyscus eremicus (cactus mouse) is the source of this 560-nucleotide long non-coding RNA. RefSeq lists it as uncharacterized. NCBI's taxonomy places the organism in Eukaryota, Metazoa, Chordata, Mammalia, Rodentia, Cricetidae. The record is from RefSeq and is a predicted model, not a curated record. The transcript is spliced from 2 exons.